UUUGUGAAUUUUAUUCUCUUUACAUAGUGGUUUAUAAUAGGUCCACAUCAUUUCCAGAUCUUUCCAUAUUUUCCAGAUCCUUCCAGAAAAAAAUUUUUGGAUAAGUUCUAGACUUUCGCUUCCAGAAUGUUCUAUGACAGGGUAUAAAUAGUACUGAUGCAAGGAGGGUGCUUUCAUUUGUGACUGUGAUAUCUGUCAUACGGAGUCAGUGUUGGUGUAGUGUAGUAAACUGCAAAUAGUGAAGUGUCAAGUGGUGCUAUCCUCUGUGUAGUCCGCAGUGUGAGAUAUCUGUCAUAUCAAGGCAUUUUUUCGGUACUUCCAGUGUGUCCGGCAUAAAAUAUUCAUUCAGAGUGCGUCUCGCGAAGCUCAUCUCGAUUGAUGUUCUACGAUUGAUUGUGCAUAAUCCGGGGCCAGUGACCACUCAAAUUUUUGAGACUAAAGGCAAAUAAAGAUAACGAGCGUAUCCUGUUUA
RNAcentral lists this long non-coding RNA (472 nucleotides) under Bemisia tabaci. Its description in RNAcentral is "lncRNA ENSASIAIIG001117". The record is from RNAcentral. Lineage: Eukaryota; Metazoa; Arthropoda; Insecta; Hemiptera; Aleyrodidae.